RNAcentral lists this ribosomal RNA (114 nucleotides) under Yongeichthys audax (mangrove goby). RNAcentral's name for it is "partial 16S ribosomal RNA". The record is from RNAcentral. Lineage: Eukaryota; Metazoa; Chordata; Actinopteri; Gobiiformes; Gobiidae.
AUUUGCCUUAACAACUAGCCCUCCUCCAAACUACAACAAACAACAUUAAUAAACCCCAAAGUACUAUAUUUGACAACCAAACCAUUUUUCCACCUAAGUAUGGGAGACAGAAAG